CGUCUAUAUACGUAUAGCAUAUCAAUAAGCGGAGGAAAAGAAACUAACUAGGAUUCCCUUAGUAACGGCGAGUGAAGCGGGAAGAGCUCAAAUUUGAAAUCUUCAAGGUUCUACCUUGACGAAUUGUAGUUUAUAGAAGUGUUUUCUGUUAGUGAGUUGGCUAAAAGUUCUUUGGAAUAGGACAUCAUAGAGGGUGAGAAUCCCGUAUUUGAUCAUUACCUCCUAGCGUUGUGAUACACUUUCAACGAGUCGGAUUGUUUGGGAAUGCAGUCCAAAAUGGGUGGUAAAUUUCAUCUAAAGCUAAAUAUUGGCGAGAGACCGAUAGCGAACAAGUACCGUGAGGGAAAGAUGAAAAGAACUUUGAAAAGAGAGUUAAACAGUACGUGAAAUUGUCAAAAGGGAAGCGUUUGACACCAGUGUUGUUUUUCCGAAAAUCAAUUACGAAUGGUUUGAUUUUUGAGUAGUUAUGACUUCAUCAGCUUGCUGCACUUUCUUUACGAGACUUUCUUAAUGCACUUUUCGGUUAACAAGUCAACAUCAAUUUCUUUUGUUGUAAAAGAGUAUUAGGAAGGUGGCUUUCUUUUCGGAGAAAGUGUUUAUAGCCUUAUGCCUCUACAAUCGGAGAGAUUGAGGUCUGCAGCGUAGAUCCUUCGGGGUUAGAUACACUUUGUGCUAAGUUAGUAGCUUUUCAUAGACAACUUGUUGACUAUGUUUAGUCAUUGUAGGCUUACUCGCUGACGCUAUUUUACCUACGCUUAGGAUGUUGACUGAUAUGUAGUCGUA
Molecule: ribosomal RNA, 783 nt
Filed under: uncultured Neocallimastigales
Lineage: Eukaryota; Fungi; Neocallimastigomycota; Neocallimastigomycetes; Neocallimastigales
Description: partial large subunit ribosomal RNA
Rfam family: Eukaryotic large subunit ribosomal RNA
Source: RNAcentral